Molecule: long non-coding RNA, 892 nt
Organism: Cyprinus carpio (common carp)
Lineage: Eukaryota; Metazoa; Chordata; Actinopteri; Cypriniformes; Cyprinidae
Source: Ensembl
UGUUGUGAGUUUUUUGUAAUUUCUUUGCCUUUUUUGGAAAAAAAAUGCCCCAAAAAAACAACAAUCUUUUUUUUUCUUCUCUCAUUUCUUCUUUUCUUGUAUCUUUCCACCCAACCUGCUCUGCCUCGCUCUACCAUUUCAGCUGUGUCUUUCACUCAUGUUCAGGUUUACUGCCCCAGUUUUGUGCCAGGUCACUGUCAGUUGUUAGCUGACUUUCUUUGGAUUCGCCCCAGGUUUUGUGCCACUCCAGCCUCUGUCAGUUGCCAGCCAACUUUCUUUGUUUGUUUUCAUUCUUUGUCUUAUGCCAUCCAGGUCACUGUCAGUUGCUGGCUGAUUUCCCUUGGUUUCGCCCCAGGUAUUGUGCCGUCCAGGCCACUGUUGGGUCAACCCAACAUGCUGAGGUUCUUGGAUGCUUCAUUGAGAUGAUCGACAUCACUGGGAUGCAUAAAAUGUACAUUAUGUACAUUAAAUAUAUUUAUGAUCAAGCAAAUCUGCAUUCACCUCAUGAGGUUUCUGUUAUUCUGCUUUUGAUGUUCAUUCAAUGAUUCAACUCUCAAAAAGACAUUGACUGUACUCCACCCUGUGGUGUAAUGAUGUAAUGAUGUAAUGAUCAGGAGGUCAAUGUGUUACAUUUAUAUUGUGCUUUUCUGGCUACUCAGAGUGCAUUGUAUUUACAUGGAAGGGGGGAAUCUCCCCAACCAUGACUCGUUUAUGACUCAUUGAACGAAUCUGAACAAAAGUGAACAUAAGAAAAAGAUUCAAGUAAAAUGAUUCAUAAUCAACACCACUAAUAUAGAUUUUAUAGAUGUGAACCCAAAAAAAAAAACAAACCUUUGUGUGUGUAAGCACAUUGGCCAAUAAAGCUCUUUUUGACUGAAUAAUUUUUGUGAAA